Molecule: ribosomal RNA, 200 nt
Filed under: uncultured eukaryote
Lineage: Eukaryota
Description: partial 18S ribosomal RNA
Rfam family: Eukaryotic small subunit ribosomal RNA
Source: RNAcentral
GCUCCAAUAGCGUAUAUUAAUGUUGUUGCAGUUAAAAAGCUCGUAGUUGGAUUUCUGGUCGGACCGCCUGGGCGGCUCCGCAAGGGGCCGUAUCUUGGGUGUCUUCGGCCAUCCUCAGGGGGACGUGCGGUGGUAUUGAUUUAUCGUCGCGGGAACGCCUGUCGUUUACUGUGAACAAUUAGAGUGUUCAAAGCAAGGUG